This is a long non-coding RNA of Balaenoptera ricei (Rice's whale), 519 nucleotides long. RefSeq lists it as uncharacterized. The record is from RefSeq and is a predicted model, not a curated record. The transcript has 5 exons. NCBI's taxonomy places the organism in Eukaryota, Metazoa, Chordata, Mammalia, Artiodactyla, Balaenopteridae.
CCCUCCUCCGCCAGCCGCGUCCUCCCGGGCUCGGUGAGGAACUGUCCCUGGAGGAGCCGCGGGACGCCGAAACCAGCCAAUGGGAAGCGGCGAGACGCGGAGAUUGGCACUGUAGAUGGGAAGUGGGUUCCUGGCUCAUCUGUUGAUGCAGUGCCAGAAGUGAGCUGCAGAACAGGAGUUACUGGAGAUGACGGUGACCGUGAGUCCUGAAGGAGGAAUAUUGAUCUCAGCGUUACUUUGACCAUUAAUGAAUUAUGAUGGCAAUAAGCAGAGACGCACACCUCCAGCCUCCUGGGAGCUUAAUCUUCUGCUACAGCGUUUGCAUUUGCAUAAACCUUUUCCCUCUGCCACUGGAGAUGCAGAAAUAAAUGGCAUGGUUUCUGCCUCCAAGAUCUAUCAGUCUAAUGGGAAGAUGGUCACCGAAAGAGCUAACUGUGAGAUGUAAUCCAACAAUCAAGGAUCCAAUGACUGGCCUCAGGGAGCAGAAUAAAAGACACAGUGAUAAACAUUGUCGGUGAA